Long non-coding RNA from Triticum aestivum (bread wheat), 1085 nucleotides. RefSeq lists it as uncharacterized. The record is from RefSeq and is a predicted model, not a curated record. The transcript has 3 exons. NCBI's taxonomy places the organism in Eukaryota, Viridiplantae, Streptophyta, Magnoliopsida, Poales, Poaceae.
GGAAUGUGGAAAAAAAAGCUAUGUGGCACGGCGAUUCGCCAUGGAUGGCCUCGAGUUCUUUGAGGAAGCAGAAUCAGGUGUUAGGAUUGGCAACGCGCCAGAAGAGAGGGAUGCCAACCCAAGCAGGUCCCUGCCCUCGAUGCUUCAAUGCAAGCUUAUGCAGACAACAAGGUUGGCACUGUUGUUAACCCGGCGCUCGGGACUAGCUUUGACACAGUUGUAGAAGCAUAUGAGUUUUACAACUUAUACUCCUGGGAGACUGGUUUUGGCGUCAGGUAUGCCAAAAGCAGGCUGAACGUCCAUCGGAAAAAAUGUAUGCAGGAGUUUGUGUGCGCGUGUGCGGGCAAGCCAUUGCAAUCGAAUAGCCGCUCGACGAUGUGUGGAUGCCCUGCGUUGAUGCGGAUUCUUAGGUCUGAUGAUAAAGGAUGGUACAUAUGUGAGCACAAAGCAGAGCACAACCAUGCACUCUCAGUUAACUGUAUGGAGAAGCUGCACUGGAAAUCACACUGGCACAUAGAUAGAUGGAGCAACUAAGAAAUGUGAAAACAUUGCCGGAGUCGGUGGCUGCUGCACGCGAUGGCACGGGUUUAUCUGACAGAUAGGUGGCAGGUGAUUCUGCAGGUUCAGCUACAGCAGAGAAGCAACAUUUUGGUCCAACAAAAAAUAGGUGCAAAGUGCCUCGCAAUGUUCAGAUAGCUUUGGGGCGCCAUCAAAGAAGAGACCAGCGGGGCGCCCUACGACAAGCUGCGACAAAGCACCAUACGAACAACCAGCUAAGAGGAGUAGGUUCUGUUCGAUCUGCCGGGCCCAGGGGCACAAGAGCACAACAUGUCCGCGGCACGGGGGGUCUUCCAAAGGCGCCAAGGAAAUCACCUCGCUGCUCCAGGUGCAGCCUGAAAGGCCACAGAAGAAACACUUGCACCAACACGCCCAAGGCUGAUUUCUAUGGUUGAUUUCAUUUGUUUUCUAUGCUUGAAACAUGACAGUUUCAUGUAACCGUGCUAAUGUGGAUGUCAGACUGCUAAUGACUACUCCACAUAUUAGUGUAUCUCUAUAUCUGUAGUAUCAUUUGUUGUCGGAGAAUU